Long non-coding RNA from Biomphalaria glabrata, 1243 nucleotides. RefSeq lists it as uncharacterized. The record is from RefSeq and is a predicted model, not a curated record. Lineage: Eukaryota; Metazoa; Mollusca; Gastropoda; Planorbidae. The transcript is spliced from 3 exons.
ACUACUAUCUACAGCCAUGCCCAUUAACAUAGGCCCUACUCAUGUACUAGAUCUAGUUCUUUUGAUCACAACUCAUAUCUUGCCUAGAUAUAAACAACUGUACUAGAUUAAACUAGACAUUCUAAUCGGUUCUAUUUUCGUUUUUCAUUAUUCUCACAUAUUCUAGUAGGCAAUAGGUACCAAAUUGUGCUAUUUAUUUACUGUAGAUCUAGAUCUUAACUUUUCUCUUAACUACCAAAGAAGUACACAAAGGAUGUUGAAAGGUACCCAAAGGGCUCUUAUUGCUACCAUUCAAUGUGUGGAAUCAAGUAUUUACAUAGAUACUGCCACAAUAUGCUCUUAUUGUUUUCAAAGGAGUUUUCACACAGUGCCAGAAGCUGUAUAAAUACAUUUAACAAUGUAUAUUUCAAGAAGAAAUGAUGCUUUCUUAUUUCUAAGAGUUUAUCAAUAGGAUGAAUGCCACAAAACUCACUUGUUAUGCCAGAAACUCUUCCUACGAAACUUCCAUACUAGAAUUUGUCCAGUGCCUGUGAUCCUCUGAGUUGAAGGAGAAUAUGCUCCAUAAUACCUACUAGGAGCUUGCUGAUAGCUGGAAGUUCAUGAAUACUAUGUUGUCCUUGAUUUGAUGAUUCUGAAAACUACCAUUUCUGAAGACUUGAGCAUUAUUUCUAUAAUUUAAACAAAUCUUUUCAGGAAAUAUUGUGUUUAUAAUAUUAAGAAAGGGAAGAUAAUAUUGUUCUUACUAAUAUUAUUGACUUAUUAAAAUAGAAAGCACAUCAUUACCAAUAUUCACUUGUCAAUAAAUGUUAGCAUUAUUCAAUUUUUAGUUACAUGUUCAAACUAUUAAAUUUUAUUAUUUAAAUUAUAGCAACUUUCUCUUUCAGUCCAGCUUACGAUACAUUCCUGUAAAAAGUCUAUAAUAAUAAGUUAAUGUCGAUGUAGUAUUGUUCAAACACUUACAAGUUUAAUCAUCUAUACUUCACAAAAAAAAAGUGUUUGAAUGGUUUUCAUUUGUUUGUACAUCAAAUAUGUAUUAAUAUAAUUAUCAUUUUUAGAUGAAACAUUAAAUACUGAAGAUGACCAUCUCAAUUUCUGAUGUAGGCCUAUUCUCAUUUCAUGAAAUAAACAAAAUAUUAUCUGAAAUUUCAUCCCUUCAUGGUAACUGUAACUGGCUUCAUAAAAAAAUGGAGUGAUGACUGGGUUGACUAUACAUUUUUGUAUAAAUAAUGCAUCAAUGAAUGUA